GGCCCGCGUUAGAUUAGUUAGUUGGUGGGGUAAUGGCCUACCAAGACUACGAUCUAUAGCUGGUUUGAGAGGAUGAUCAGCAACACUGGGACUGAGACACGGCCCAGACUCCUACGGGAGGCAGCAGUGGGGAAUCUUAGACAAUGGGGGCAACCCUGAUCUAGCGAUGCCGCGUGAGUGAUGAAGGCCUUAGGGUCGUAAAGCUCUUUCGCCUGUGAUGAUAAUGACAGUAGCAGGUAAAGAAACCCCGGCUAACUCCGUGCCAGCAGCCGCGGUAAUACGGAGGGGGUUAGCGUUGUUCGGAAUUACUGGGCGUAAAGCGCACGUAGGCGGAUUAGUCAGUCAGAGGUGAAAUCCCAGGGCUCAACCCUGGAACUGCCUUUGAUACUGCUAGUCUUGAGUUCGAGAGAGGUAAGUGGAAUUCCGAGUGUAGAGGUGAAAUUCGUAGAUAUUCGGAGGAACACCAGUGGCCGAAGGCGGCUUUACUGGCUUCGAUACUGACGCCGAAGGUGCGAAAAGUGUGGGGGAGCAAAACAGGGAUUAAAAUACCCCUGGGUAGUCCCCCACCCUUAAACAAAUGAAUUGCCAAUUCGUUCGCGAUAACCAUGGCUAUUUCCGGUGAACCCCCC
This 629-nucleotide ribosomal RNA is filed under the name Celeribacter sp. RNAcentral describes it as "bacterial SSU rRNA". It matches the Rfam family "Bacterial small subunit ribosomal RNA", at positions 228 to 1533 of the family's 1533-position model. The record is from RNAcentral. Lineage: Bacteria; Pseudomonadati; Pseudomonadota; Alphaproteobacteria; Rhodobacterales; Roseobacteraceae.